GUCUAUGGCCAUACCACCCUGAACGCACCCGAUCUCGUCUGAUCUCGGAAGCUAAGGAGGGUCGGGCCUGGUUAGUACUUGGAUGGGAUACAAAGAGUGAAAUUAUUCACUGUGUUUG
Molecule: ribosomal RNA, 118 nt
Filed under: Neogale vison (American mink)
Lineage: Eukaryota; Metazoa; Chordata; Mammalia; Carnivora; Mustelidae
Source: RNAcentral